AAUGCCACACUCCGGGAACAAUAUUCGGCUCUAUACAACAUUGUGCAUCACAAGGGUGAUACUAUUGCCACUGUAAUGGAAUCAUUUCUGCCAAAUGUGACGUUCAGAAGAGAUUUAAUUGGACCUAGACUCCAAUCGUGGUUUAUCCUGCUUCAAUGGUUGUCCACGGUGCAAUUGUCACAUGGGUCUGAUGUAUUUUGAUGGAACCUACAUGAGAAUGGAAAAUUCUCAGUGGAGUCUAUGUGUAGAGCUCACUCUGUGCAUUUUAAAACCGAACCGAAAAACCAUACCAAAAAUAAACCGAACCGAACCGAUUUUUUUGUUUUUAUGGUUUCUGGUUUCGGUAUGGUAUGA
RNAcentral lists this ribosomal RNA (354 nucleotides) under Triticum aestivum (bread wheat). Its description in RNAcentral is "partial small subunit ribosomal RNA". The record is from RNAcentral. Lineage: Eukaryota; Viridiplantae; Streptophyta; Magnoliopsida; Poales; Poaceae.